UACACCCUUUCAGUUAUUCGCUUUUACUAGUGUUAGAGUUGUGUCCCUUAGCCGGAUGUGACGUCAACGGGGGAUAGAAAUUCGCCAGAGAAAAUAAAAUUUUACAGUGUCGCUGAAGAAAUCAACGUCUUUAGCACAAUAUAUGCGUAAGUUGCACACAUGUUUUAUUUUUAUUAUUUUAUUGACGCAUAUUAAAGCUAUCGCUUGUUGUAUAUUUACUUUUAAGUACGAUGAAGUGAGAAAAAAUGCAUUAAACAUUCCGUUUUGUCAAGACACAUUUCAUGUUCGUACAUAUACCAUUACACCUGGAUUGGAACCUAAAAGUAAAUAUUGUAUAAAAAUGCCAAAUUUUGAAAGCAAAGCGAAUUACGAGUUAUUUUCAGAAAGUUUAUAUUUGUAAUCAUGAUUUUAUCAUAGGAAUUAUAUGAUUUCGGGGCUUUUUUUUAUUCUUAAAUAGAACUAGAAAGUAGAAGAAUGUGAAUGAAAACCAAUCAGGAGAACGGGUCAUUUAACUUUCAUGUUUUUUACACCAAAAUCUCUAUAUUUAUAAACUUUCAAAACCGAAACUAUCCUUUGUUUCUUUGAGUGUUUGACUGAAGUGUUGAAAUAAUAUAAAAAUCAGCUGCAAAAAAAGCAUUAUAUGUGGGUUUUUUUCAGGAAUCAUCCCAAAUGCUAUGUUCAGAAACAGUGAAGUACCAUGGCUGAACCAGAUCCUGUAACAGAAAAGAAACUACAACAGUACACGACUGUGAUUGUCAUAAGCUGUAUGCCAAGGAUGUCCCUGGCGCUGUUUUACCGCAACUUCAACCAGAAAGAUGCAAAGUUACAGAGUUGCGAAUAUGGUUGAAAUGCCGGGGAUAAGCUGUGAAAUCGAAUGAGACAAAAGCCGAACUUUGCUUGAGGGUAAAGAAAUUCAGUGACAACCAGGAUAACAUCCUAAUUGUGGAUCCUUAUCCAGACCAGCCAUUUGCAGCUAAGCAGAAGUCGUCCUGUAUGAACUGUAAAGGACAAUCAACAGUGUCAACAGCGGAAGAACAUCUUAAUUUGGAAGAAUGCACAUGGACCCAAAGCACCAGACCGAUCUUCAAAGACUUUUCUUACAUGAACAUUCUGGAAUGGACCAAAAGUUCUGGUAAAGGUUCAAAACUGGGUGUUGAAAAGCCUAUUCAACGAGGCUAUGUGUUUUUUCAUGACGGUUAUGUAUUCGACACAUGGACAUCUGAACGUAACAGUUCAACAAUUGUUAGAUGCAAGUGUUUCCGCUCCAUGAAAAACCUGUAAUCAGAAAUAAAGAGUAUUGAAAUAAUCUAAAUUAUAUUUGAAAGUAUUCAAUUUUGUGUUAUUUUAGUGUCAGUAUUUGUGAGAUUCACCUCAAAUCACAUUUAUUCAUUCAAUAUAAUCAUAGGAUCUCAGCUCAUUUUGGUGCAAUACCUGUAUCUGCAUGUUUGUAAUUUUCAGAUUGUGUUUCCUUAAAUUAGUUU
Molecule: long non-coding RNA, 1481 nt
Organism: Dreissena polymorpha
Lineage: Eukaryota; Metazoa; Mollusca; Bivalvia; Myida; Dreissenidae
Exons: 3
Source: RefSeq, a predicted model, not a curated record